Long non-coding RNA from Capsicum annuum, 3071 nucleotides. RefSeq lists it as uncharacterized. The record is from RefSeq and is a predicted model, not a curated record. The transcript is spliced from 7 exons. Lineage: Eukaryota; Viridiplantae; Streptophyta; Magnoliopsida; Solanales; Solanaceae.
GACAGAACGGUAAAUAUGCACAUUAUUGAGGGCAAAUUCGUAAUUAUGUCUGGUAGAUAUUUACAUUUCCUCUUUCUCCAAAUCAUUCCAGAAACACUACAUAUUUCUAACCAGAACAACAAUCUUCAGUUGUCCUUCUCAAGAAUACGUAGGAACGACUAUUUUCACCAUUAUCGGUGGCAACACAAUAACAAUCGGAAACAAUAGUACUAGUGAACAGAUCCAUUUCUGACAAAGUUACGGAAGGUUUUCAUGCGCCGACGUCUCCGCCAUUUGGAUGAUUCAAUGUUGCAGCUUUUCCAUUAUUGAUUCAAUGAAUGAAGUUUAUCCAAAUCAGAUCGACAUAAUGGCCUGUGCAGAAUUUUGUGAACUUUGGACAUAAAGGUGUUGUAUAUCUAGUUGUGGAUUGCGUUGUUCAAGCCUCUGAAUUUGUGUUAUAUGCUUUGAAGAAAAGACCAAGAAGGUAAGCUUAUCACUUAGUGAAAAUAGUAUAGACGUUGAUGUUUCUUCGUUGGAGAUUUUGCUAAUUGUGGUUGAUGAGUGAUGCCCUUUACCAGAAGAAUCACUCUUUGUAGUAAAUGGAUAAUUAUCAGUGGUGAUACCUGGUAAGCCUCUUACACCCUCUUUUUCUUUAUUUUUGGUAGUAUGUCAUCAAGCGCCCUACAACUGUACCGAAGUAAAUAUUUUAAAGGCAUCACAUUUGGUUAGGAAUUGAUUGGAUCUUAUAUAUGUAUGGAUUGGUGAGAUACUCAAAUAAAGAUGUGUUGUCCACUUCAUUUGUUUUUUUCUUAAUUUUCUUCUAUAUCAUGCGAUCUUUGAUGUGGUCGAAUGUGAAACUAAUGAAAGCAAAUAGUGUCGUACAUUUUUAAUAUGAUGAUGUAUUGAUAAAGGCGCUUCUCAUUUUUGGGACACGAUGGGUUCUUGGCUUAAAAUAAAUAUGAAACAAAGAAUUCUGUUUUUGGGUUCUUUUUUCUUCUUUUUGGUGUUUUUUGGUUCACAAUUUAAAGACCUCUCUUAUCUUUGUUUCCCUCAUUUCUUAAAGCGAGCAUAACAGGAAAACAAGACAAAUAAUUUGACAUGAGAAAAUUAAAAUCUCCAUUAGACUAGGAUUUCCACAACAAAUAUUUUGUAUAUAGAUAGUCAUCCUAUAGGUACCAAUUUUGAAAACAGUGACCAUUUAGAUGGAAUAGACUUUAAUGGUAGACGCAUCAUAUUGUCUCUUAAUAAUACUACUGUAACUUGUUAAUAAUAUUGCCUCAGACAAGACACGUCUAACCAAAUGAACAACUUUUUGGUUGGUUUUGAAUUAUUAUCUAUUAGGCAAGAAGUUAUUUCUUUUCUGAAGCAUUAUCAAUUCCCUUUUACCUAUAAAUGGUGUGGGUUUGGGCUAUUGAGGUUUUCCUAAUGUGACUUGUAUAUAGGAAAGUAGAUUCUCUCUGUGGAAGUUGUUGCAUUGUAGUAUCAAGUCUAUUGCCUUGCAAUAAGAAAAUGAAUUAUUUCUUAUUAUAGGUUUGUAAGUUGCUAUAGUGCAACAUAUAGUUCAUUGUGUUGUUUUGUUAAGUUCAGCAAAUUUACAAGUUUAAUAUACUCCAUACAUUUUCUUUUGACUACUUAAAUACUUGAGCUUCAAUGAAAAAAAAUCUUUAAAGAUGAUUGCAUGAUGAAGAUACAAAGGAAAUAUUUAGAAGGAUCAUGCGGAGAACAUAAUCUACUCAUUCUAAGUUUUUGAAUUAAAAGAGACUGAUGAAAUUCCUAUCAUACACAUUAUUUGGAACAUCUAAAAGAUUUAUGCUUAUUGCGACUCUGGUGACAUUAUUGUGUUUUUCUAGGUUGACGCUAGAAUUGCUUUUCCUUUUUAUUUGAGUUUUUUCUGCUUUUGGAAGUAACAAGAAUCUGACACAUACAAAUAUAUUCUAGAAUAUUCAUGUACAUAAUGUAUACCAGACUGUUACUUUUAGCGGUUGAAUUCUCAUCAAUAUUACUAAUUCAAAUGAUUUUUAAAUUCCUGCACCAAAUUAUAGCUCAGGAUCUGGAUCACUUGAAGUUGAAUCCUCACAACAUAGUUACCUGUUGCCACUUCUGUCAUGUUGAAACAAUUGUGUUUACUGUCACAGGCAGAAAGAAAAAGGAAGCUUGGUUUCCACCAGAAGAUCUCGCUUCCCCCAAACCUUCUACUACACCUGUUGUGGACGAAAAGAAGACCAGCUACAAAGGUAGAGUGAAUGAGAGAGUGCCUGCGAACUCUUAAAUAGACCCACAAGGAUGAUGAUGCCAAAGUCAAGACUGCUCUCAACACGCUGCUAACUUAUGCAAAGAAUGUCGCUACAAAUCCCAAUGAGGAAAAAUUUCGCAAGAUUAGACUUAGUAAUGCUGCUUUUCAGGUCACAUAAACAAUCAGUAUAAUACUUGCUUCUGGAUGUUUUUUAAGUCUGGAAAGAGCAUAACUGAAGCUCAAAGCUACCUAAAGCUUUUGAGAAGAGCACAAAGUUUCAUUGAAUAAUCUAUAAUACUUGACUCCACAAUUGUACAACAAGGGUGGAUUUGGAAUUUCACAAUUGAGAAGAGAAGCCACCUUGACCUACUCUUAGAAACAAUAAUUUGGAGGUUAGACCUGGUGAGAACAUUGCAAUAUGUGCGUAGGUGGGCUUAUGAAACUCAACUCUUCAUUCUUGGAGAGGUUCCAAGUAUCAAAGGAGCUGUUCAGAGACACGAGUUCCAGAUCAAUAGUAGAUUUCAGUUUCAACAGUCAGAGUAAAAGUGAGUCCUUAUCCUUCGAGGACAUAAUGAUUUUCUAUUAUCUUAUUGAUUAGCUUAUUAGUUAGAGUUAGUUGGGGACAUGUCCCAUCAACUCUUUAUUCAGAUUCUUCAGACAGUAGAGGCUUUCAGACUAGAUACAGACUAUCAUACUCGGACUUCAGUAUUUUUAGUUUUUUUUUUUUUGGUAUUCUAUUACCCCACACAGAUGAUAGUUAUGUUCAGUAUUGAACCUUAUGGGCUUUCAGUACAUGUUUUUGCAUUAUUAAGUUAUGCAACAUACAAGCACAAAUAUUAGUCAUGGGUUAGCUUGUGGU